Long non-coding RNA from Dendronephthya gigantea, 947 nucleotides. RefSeq lists it as uncharacterized. Lineage: Eukaryota; Metazoa; Cnidaria; Anthozoa; Malacalcyonacea; Nephtheidae. The transcript has 3 exons. The record is from RefSeq and is a predicted model, not a curated record.
AUUAGAUAAAUAUUCAUUUAUUUCAAACGCUUCGUGAGCGGGGGUGUAUAAGUGUAUAACACAAGAAACAGGAAGCCUUUUGUUGACGAUAAAAAAAGAGCAAAUCUCACGCUGGGAAGACGAGCAACAUUGGCCUACAAGUUCAACGGUGCGUGUAUUCUUGUGUGAAAUAUAAAUUUCACAUCUGUCUACAAAUUGCAUACGGAUCUUUCAUAAAGGACACUUGAACAAUGGACACCACUGAAAUACUUCUUGUGAUUUGCAUAGCCCUUAUCGGUAUCACCCUAAUACUUUUAAUCGGGUUUUGCUGUGUGUUCCGUCGUUUCAUAAAGUCCAAUGCAUUGGGCAACAGCAGGUAUACGCCAAGCUACCGUCUCGAAACCACAUUCACGAAUGGUGCACACGCAAAUGAGGCGUUUCGUCAGGAGAAAACGAAAGAAGAGCAUUUGGUAAUACAGAAUGUUGGCACGAAAGAAGAGGUUAAAACGGACGGAAAUAAAAAUGAAACGACCGUUAAAACGUGAUGACGAAUACAACGUGAAUAUCGCAAAUGAAAACGCUAAUUUGUCAAACAAAAUUCAAUUUUCUACUUUCUACUUAUAAGACUUAUAAUGUUAUAUCUAAACAACCUAGUUUAAUGAUCGUUGUGUUGGAAUCUAAUUUGAUCAUUUCAUAAUGAAAUCGUUGUUGACGAAAGAUGCAAGUUAUCUGAAAAUGUGAGUUGGUUGUAUCUUUGUUUAUUUUUCACUCAGUCUGUGCUCAAAAAUAUCAGACUAGCAUGCGCUCCAUAGAAUUUUUGACACUCAAUUUACUGCUAUAUUAUUGAUAACCUACAACGACUGUAUAUAUAUUCAUUGGAAUUGAUGUACAAAUUGUUAUAAUGUGUAUGAUAGGGACAAGAAAAUAUAUUUUGCUUUUGUAAAAACGCUGAACAAGAGACUACGUUU